Molecule: ribosomal RNA, 253 nt
Filed under: uncultured bacterium
Lineage: Bacteria
Description: partial 16S ribosomal RNA
Rfam family: Bacterial small subunit ribosomal RNA
Source: RNAcentral
UACAGAGGGCUCAAGCGUUGUUCGGAUUCAUUGGGCGUAAAGGGUGCGUAGGCGGCGCGUUAAGUCGGGUGUGAAAUCUCGGAGCUUAACUCCGAAACUGCAUUUGAUACUGCGGUGCUUGAGGACUGGAGAGGAGACUGGAAUUUAUGGUGUAGCAGUGAAAUGCGUAGAUAUCAUAAGGAAGACCAGUGGCGAAGGCGGGUCUCUGGACAGUUCCUGACACUGAGACACGAAGGCCAGGGGAGCAAACGGG